UGGAGGACUUGCUGGUUGCACAGAUCUUGGAGCAACUCCUCCUGGAGUUGCCAUGGGCGUAAAUCCUAUGGACCCAGGUGCUGAGGCAUUAACUUGGGGCAUUUGAGGGUUAGGAUAUUGCCCAAAUUGUGAAGGGCCAGAAGGUGCAUAUGGACCAUGACCCGGGGGAGCAGGGUAGGCAUUGUGAGAUGGUCCCUGA
Camelina sativa (false flax) is the source of this 199-nucleotide non-coding RNA. Lineage: Eukaryota; Viridiplantae; Streptophyta; Magnoliopsida; Brassicales; Brassicaceae. The record is from RefSeq and is a predicted model, not a curated record.